Molecule: non-coding RNA, 3213 nt
Organism: Manis javanica (Malayan pangolin)
Lineage: Eukaryota; Metazoa; Chordata; Mammalia; Pholidota; Manidae
Source: RefSeq, a predicted model, not a curated record
CGGGUGUGCCCAGUAGGCGGCCUCCUCGACCUUCGAGAGCUACGAAAGGAGGGGGAGGUGGCCGGUGGGAGUUUCGUAGCACCAGCCUUCCGGUACCCGCGGAGCAGGUGACUGUCAUCUGCUGUCAGAGAAACACAAAGGAAGUGGAUCACAUUAGCAAAAACCAAAUGAAGAUGCUCCAAAUGACAAAAGAACUGGAAGGCUACAGACCUUAAGAAAUUUCUGGAAUGUCAUUGGUCAGCCUCACAGUCCAGCACUGAACACAUGAACAAUUGUGGGCAUGAAUGCAGACGGAAGACCUAAGUUUGCGUUUAGGGAGAACUGCCCUGGAGACAGCUGGAGGAACCCAGCAGACGUGGCUGGGGAGGAGACUGCUGCUCUCGGCCUUGGAGUAAGAUCAAGGCCCAUCUGCGCUGCAGCCCAGCACACCAAGUUCGCCCAAAAGAUUCUGGUGGUUUUGCUUCAACACACAGAGGAAAGAGCAGGGCCAUUCUUUCAGCUGCCCUGUUGCCCUUCUUUGUUGCCAUUUGUCCUUUAGGAACCUAAAGAUAACGAUGGCGGUGAAGCCUGACCCUGGAAACCAGGCAAGAUUCCCAGAGAUAAACCCUCGGGAAGCAAGAAUACUGUCAAUGAAAAGAAACUGACCUUUCGCCUUCUGGAGUCACAGAAUUCCCACAAAUGCUGUGUCUUCAUCGGCUCUGGCAGGCUCUGCCACCACAGCCCCAGACUUUGACGCCAGUUCAUAAACAGCAUGGGACCUGCUGCUGGAGUCUCUGAGGAGGGGGCUGUACUAGAUAGAAGUCAGGACGUCUCCACCUCUAGCACCUCAAAAUACAGGACACCCCUCAUUUUCUUCCAGAAGCUAAUCCUCCCCCAGACUCACAAAGCUUUGAGAAAGCCCCUUUCGAGGGUUUUCUCUGACAAUGUGGUCUGGCCUGCUGCUGCUAAAGGUGCCUCAAGUGAGCCUUUAACCUGACAGAAACACAGUGUUCAAACUCUGAACCCAGAGCCUUUACAAGGAGCGCACAGCCUUGGAACAAGAGGCAGAAAGUCUCAGGAGAAGGAGAGGGUUUGAGCUGGGGUGAGGAGGAGUGGAUGAGAGAAGGCAAGUUUGUGUCUGUGACAGUAAGAGGUAUGUAUGAAGUGGGAAAUUCAUUAAAUUUCUGUUUAAGGUCACAAAAUUAACUAAUCUCUUUAAGUCUCAGGUUCCUCAGCAAAAUGAGAAUGUUAGUUUCAUUUUUUAAAUGCAAUAAACCAGGUCUUUUUUCCUUAGCAACGGCUUUCCUACAGGACCCUAAAAACCUCCAAGCAUCACAUAAGCCACUAGAACAAUGGUUUCAACCUUGGCUGCACAGAAAAAUCACUUGGGAAGCUGUUAACAAUGUUAAUGCAUGAAUCCUACCUCCAGAUUCUGAUAGAAUUGGCCUGGGUGAGGCCUGGACACCAGAAUUUCUCUCUCCUUUUCUGUAUCCCCUUGUCAACUCCUACCCUGAAAUGUAAGUAUUUUCUAAAGUUCUGUCCUUACCUCUCAUCUUUCUCUGUAUUUUAUGUGUAUUUCUCUUCUCACUCAUUCCCACAUCUUUACACCACUUCUUUGGAGAUCACCCCAAAUCCGUUUGAAUUCCUGAUCUGUUCAUCCAGCUUUCUUUUGUUUUUCUAUACCUGGAACAAUGCUUAGCUCUAAUACAUUCUCGGUCCCAAACUCAACGUCUUGCCCUGCUGCACUUCUAUUCCUUGGUGUUUCAAUAUCUGUAAUGUAAAAACCUUCCAUUAUCCUAUCACCAAGGCUCAAAAUCUUAGUGUUAUCUUGGUGUGAUGAUUUUUAAAAUUAACAUGAGAGUGUUAAUACAUAACCUUUCUGCCAUAACAUAAACCUCUCUACCACCCACCCAUAAAGAAAAUACUGUCUUUGAUAGCUUUGCUACAUCUGCCCUUUAAGGAGAGUUCUGCCCUUUCCAGGAUGGCCCCUAGGCUUCAUGAUUCAAAAUGAGGAGACUGGAUAAACGGAAACAGGACUGCAGAGGCAGAAGGAAAGGAAGAGGGAAACAAAAGACAAGGUCCUCAUAGGCUGAAAUUGUUGAGUUUCCAGGCAGGAGAAACGGAGAGUGAGGGGUUAAGAUAAUGAGAAGUUCCAGAGCUAAUAAGAUGUAAGAAUUACUGAAAAGAAAAUGAAGUUGAAUGGUUCCUAAGGCUUAUGAAUUGCAUGCUUUUUAAUGGUCUUGGAGAAUGGCAGGCAAAAUAUUGAACUACUUUUAACAUAGUUUUGGUUACUAGAAGGCUUUUUCAGUGUAUUAUUGCUCAGAUACUGGACGUUACAUCUAGGUUACACAAGACACCUCCCUCUCACUCAUUUGCCAUAUCUAAACAGUUGUUAAUCCCUGUGAUUUUUUUUUCCCUUCCAGCCCUAUCACUCUGUACUGCCUGUACAAAACCAUACAUACCAGCUACACCUCCUCAGCUCUCAAACUUUCUUUUCUUUGGACAUUGGCCCAUUCUGUUUCCUAUACCCAGAAUCACUGCCCAUUUCCAUUGUUUUAAGCACUUUCUAUGCUUCAAUGCCAGCUCAGAUUCUACCUUCUUGAGGAGACCUUUCCUGUUGAUGCUUUACACAUUCUACAUUCCUUCCUGCCCCUGCACAUGCAAUUUUCCGAAACAACAAUAAUAAUGAUUACACCAAUCACUAACAUUAUAUUGGGCUCAUUAUGCCCAGACACUGUUCUAAGUACUUUGCACAUAUUAUUUAAUUCUUACAACAACCUUUUGAGGUAAUACUGUGAGAACUAAAAUAGGGUAAGUUCCCCAAGGUUACAACAGCUAUAACUGUCACAGAUAAGGUUUGAAUCCAAGUCCCAAAGCCUGCAUUAUUUCUAUAGUGUACUUGUACUUUAAUACCCCAAUACAUGCCUGAUAUAUCCUUGUCAUUUCUCUAUAUCUAAAGUUUUCAUUCAUUCCUGCUUUACAUUGUGCAUCUCCCCCCAUUCAACACUAUCAAAUAAAUGCUUAUGCUUCGUUGUCAUCAGAUUUACAUAGUCACUUAAUAGUUUCCACUGGUAUCCAAAUAGAAGACAGCAGCAUGUGAAUGAUCAGGAUUUUGACUUACAGAGAUCCACUUUAGGUUGAAGUCUUCAGGGGCACUUAAUCUAAGAGCAGGGAGCAUGUGUUUAUAAAUCUUACCUUUGAGUUUUAUCUUCUUCCUCAUAAUGUCUUUGAGGU